GGUGGCUCAGUGGUAGAGCGCUUGCCUCGCAUGCAUGAGGCCUUGGGUUCGAUUCCUCAGCACCA
RNAcentral lists this transfer RNA (65 nucleotides) under Dipodomys ordii (Ord's kangaroo rat). It matches the Rfam family "tRNA". From Rfam's summary of the family: Transfer RNA (tRNA) molecules are approximately 80 nucleotides in length. Their secondary structure includes four short double-helical elements and three loops (D, anti-codon, and T loops). The record is from Rfam by way of RNAcentral. Lineage: Eukaryota; Metazoa; Chordata; Mammalia; Rodentia; Heteromyidae.